RNAcentral lists this unclassified non-coding RNA (391 nucleotides) under Athalia rosae (coleseed sawfly). RNAcentral's name for it is "misc RNA ENSAEAG00005013048.1". Lineage: Eukaryota; Metazoa; Arthropoda; Insecta; Hymenoptera; Athaliidae. The record is from RNAcentral.
GAUAUCAGCUUCGUUGAAAAUUUAGGCGAAAUGUUCUUUCUUUUUUUGUCAACGUCAGUUUAUUGGUCUUUUGAUACUUCGCGAUGUGUCUAAUAACCAAUAAAACAUUUUAUCCUUUGGGAUGAAUUUUUUUUGUACAUCGAUUUAUUUGAGGCACAAUUUUUUCCUCAAGAAUAUAUUUUAAAAACCGUUGAUAGUCUUUGAUACGGCAAAUCAUGAUCAAAUGCCAGGCGAAAAGAUCUUCGGAUAACGUUUCUGCCCGCUCCCUAUUUCUCGUAUUCUUUUUUCUGCUACAGGCAAAUCGUCGUCGCGGACGUCGAAGCGGAGACUUUGCAGUACAUUGCUACGCGUCUCCUUCCCAAUGAAUGCCAGAGCAUAAUUAACCACGAAG